UUGUAGCUUACUGGCAUACGGCUCACUAACGCGUAGUCAACCUAACCUAUGGACGGGAAUAACCUCGGGAAACUGAGAAUAAUGCCCGAUAGAACACUAUACCUGGAAUGGUUUGUGUUCCAAAUGAUUUAUCGCCAUAUGAUGGGACUGCGGCCUAUCAGUUUGUUGGUGAGGUAAUGGCCCACCAAGACUAUUACAGGUACGGGCUCUGAGAGGAGUAGCCCGGAAAUGGGUACUGAGACACGGACCCAGGCCCUAUGGGGCGCAACAUGCGAGAAAACUUUGCAAUGUGCGAAAGCACGACAAGGUUAAUCCGAGUGAUUUGUGCUAAACGAAUCUUUUGUUAGUCCUAGAAACACUAACGAAUAAGGGGUGGGCAAGUUCUGGUGCCAGCCGCCGCGGUAAAACCAGCACCUCAAGUGGUCAGGAUGAUUAUUGGGCCUAAAGCAUCCGUAACCGGCUCUGUAAGUUUUCGGUUAAAUCUGUACGCUUAGCUUACAGGCUGCCGGGAAUACUGCAGAGCUAGGGAGUGGGAGAGGUAGACGGUACUCUGUAGGAAGUGGUAAAAUGCUUUGAUCUAUCGAUGACCACCUGUGGCG
RNAcentral lists this ribosomal RNA (599 nucleotides) under uncultured archaeon. RNAcentral's name for it is "bacterial SSU rRNA". It matches the Rfam family "Archaeal small subunit ribosomal RNA", at positions 68 to 668 of the family's 1478-position model. The record is from RNAcentral.